RNA transcript from Musa acuminata AAA Group (dessert banana), 1800 nucleotides. RefSeq lists it as uncharacterized. The transcript is spliced from 5 exons. The record is from RefSeq and is a predicted model, not a curated record. Lineage: Eukaryota; Viridiplantae; Streptophyta; Magnoliopsida; Zingiberales; Musaceae.
CGACCUUCCCUCGCUCUCCUCUCCCCGCCUAUAUCGUAACCCUAACCCUACUAAGAACUCUUCUUCGAUCUCUUGUGGCAGUUUCUCCCGCCCGGCAUGGCUGCCGAGCGCCCGCGAGGAUCGACCCCGCGUCCGGUGAUCGGGAAGGCAGGGAGGUACACGGUGUUCAUCACCCCGCCGCCUGCCUCGAAGCCUUCCGAGGCCCCGAGAGCAGAGAGCGCCGGCCCUGCAAAGGCGUAUCCUUUGCUUGUCGAUGCUCUUCAUUCGCCGCUGCCGGUCCAGGUCCCGCCGAAGCAGUUCGAUAAGGUGGACGCGAAUUCGUCGGGAUCGGUGUUCGGGUUCUUCUGGGACGCCAUCGCGAGGGUCCAAGAUGCGCAUUCAAGCUUGGAUGAGCAUUUGGCAGACUGGUUUGGGUUGAACCAAUCGAAGUACCAGUGGGCAUUAAACGAUUACUAUGGGAACAAUGGAAAGGAGAAGGAAGGUUGCAAACUAAAACCAGUUACCAAACUGCAAUCUGUCUGAUUAGUAAAAGAAAAUCUGCUUGAUGAAAUGCCAUUUCAUAAGAACACUACAAAGGAUUAUUCGCUCGCGAUCACCAUCGAAGCUCUAGUGCCAUAGCUUUUUAUCAAAAUGAGGUACCUGUCAGGUUUGAGGAACCUUGAAAAGAGAUCAUCUCAAGCUGCGUGAUCGAGGAAGGAAACACACAGAGAAGGCAGAGAGGAUUGCAGCAGCCAUGCCUCCAUUGGACAAGUUCCUCUGCUCGUGGAAGUAUUUUCGCUCACGGUACCUGAAGCGGGGCUCACACUGAGGGAAGUCAUGUACUGGAAUGGAUUCGUAGGGGGCACGAUCUCCUCUUCGCCCUCGAGCAUCCUCACCACGCUGCUCAUCGAAGGUCUGGCUUCCGGCUGAUACUGCACGCACCACAAAGCCACCUGACACAUCCGCUCUGCUUUCUCCCUGUCCUUCUCCUCUAUACCGCAAGCUGACACUAUGUUCUCCAUUUCGCCAUGCUCAAACUUCUGCCACACCCACCGAGGGAACCACUCAAACUCCUGACUCUCAACUGAUUCCAGGAACUCCAGGUUCCUCCGCCUCCCCAGGAUCUCAAACAGAAGCAUCCCGAAGCUGUAGACGUCGCACUUAUGAGUCACGGGUAUCGGCAUCCACAGCUCCGGCGCGGCGUAGCCGGGAGUUCCCCUGCCGCCGGUGAGCGUCACGUAACUCCUCUCCCUGUCGCAGAACUUCGCCAGUCCAAAGUCGGCAACUUUGGGGUUGAAGUUGGUCGUCAGGAGGACGUUCGCCGGCUUGAUGUCGUAAUGCACUAUCUUCUGCUGGCAUUCCUCGUGCAGGUAUCGGAUCCCCUUGGCCGUGCCCAGCGCGAUCUCCUGCAGCUUCCCCCAUGGAAUGCGGUGGUUCUCGUCGAACAAGAACCGGUCGAGGGAUCCAUUCUCCAUGUACUCGUAGACCAGUGCUUUGAUCGACCUGUCGAAGCAGAAGCCGUACAGCUUCACCAGAUUGAUGUGGUUAGUUCUGCCUAUGGUGCCGACUUCCGCCAUGAACUGCUCCUCGGCUCUCUUGUUCAUGGCCGCCUUCAGAACCUUGACGGCCACCGGCACGCCGUUGGGGAACCGGCCUUUGUAGACUACUCCGAAGCCGCCGAAUCCCAGUUUCUGGUCAUAGUUCUGAGUGAAGCGCUCGAGAUCCUGUGCAGUGAACCUCAUGGGCUUGUCUCUCAUCAUGUCAUCGAGGAAUCUCUCGAUUGGUUCAGCUGCAGCACUCGAGUCGUUCGUUACGGCAAUA